Molecule: ribosomal RNA, 684 nt
Filed under: cf. Terrabacter sp. M618
Lineage: Bacteria; Bacillati; Actinomycetota; Actinomycetes; Micrococcales; Intrasporangiaceae
Description: bacterial SSU rRNA
Rfam family: Bacterial small subunit ribosomal RNA
Source: RNAcentral
CCUGGCUCAGGAUUAGAUACCCUGGGAGUCAUGAGUUUUAACCUGGCUCAGGAUUAAAUACCCUGGGAGUCAUGCGGUUUAUCUCUUAAUAAGCGCUGGAACGGCGUAUAAUACUGGAUACGAAACUGGCCCGCAUGGGCAUGGUUUGGAAAGUUUUUCGGUUUGGGAUGGGCUCGCGGCCUAUCAGCUUGUUGGUGAGGUAAUGGCUCACCAAGGCGACGACGGGUAGCCGGCCUGAGAGGGCGACCGGCCACACUGGGACUGAGACACGGCCCAGACUCCUACGGGAGGCAGCAGUGGGGAAUAUUGCACAAUGGGCGAAAGCCUGAUGCAGCGACGCCGCGUGAGGGAUGACGGCCUUCGGGUUGUAAACCUCUUUCAGCAGGGAAGAAGCGAAAGUGACGGUACCUGCAGAAGAAGCACCGGCUAACUACGUGCCAGCAGCCGCGGUAAUACGUAGGGUGCGAGCGUUGUCCGGAAUUAUUGGGCGUAAAGAGCUUGUAGGCGGUUUGUCGCGUCUGCUGUGAAAAUCCGGGGCUCAAAUCCGGACUUUCAGUGGGCCCGGGCAUCCUAGAGUUUGGUAGUUAAAACCCUUAUUAGUCGUGAGUUUGAUCAGGGCGCAGGUUUAGAUACCCUGGUAGUCCUGAGUUUGAUCCGGGCUCAGGAUUAGAUACCCUGGUAGUC